ACAGGAGAGAAGGCCAUGUGAAGACGGAGGCAGAGAUCAGAGUGAUGCAGCUAUAAGCCACGGAACACCAAGGGUUGCCGGCCACCAUCAGAAGCUAAAAAGAGCAGCUGGAAACGUCUGGUGGAAUUACCAUCCCUCCCCUAACCAAGCACAGUAGAGUCCCUCCUUCCCAGGGACCCUCCAAGUGCUGAGUGAUGCCUUCUCUUCUCCCAUUCCCGCUCUGCCUCUGGUGGGCAGCAGACCCAGCCUGAAAUGUCCUACAGCCACCUUCCCAGCUGCAGCUACAUGGAGCCACAGGACUCAUGUAAAGGAAGUCAUCAUUCUGCUAUCCCACUUAGUCUUCUAAGUAAAAUACGUCCCAAAGCAUUACACGUCAAGCCUGAAGAUGGAAAGUUUGGGGAAAAAAACAUGACAUUGAGUACAAGUAGAGGUCACUAAAACCAACAAAUCAACCAGUAUUGCAGAUUAUCCAAUUAGCAAAGAUAAAUACUAAAACCCAUUGGAGACACUUCUGCUUCCAGUCAAGGAGGAAUAACAGGAAUUGGAUUUAUCCUCCAGGCUAGAAAAAAAAAAGGUAAGUUAUAUGAAAUAAUUAUUUACAAAACACUGGAUAUUAGGCAAUGAAAAACAGUGAGUGGCAAGAAAA
Long non-coding RNA from Homo sapiens (human), 646 nucleotides. The record is from Ensembl. NCBI's taxonomy places the organism in Eukaryota, Metazoa, Chordata, Mammalia, Primates, Hominidae.